AUUAUUGGGUUUAAAGGGAGCGUAGGCCGGAGAUUAAGCGUGUUGUGAAAUGUAGAUGCUCAACAUCUGAACUGCAGCGCGAACUGGUUUCCUUGAGUACGCACAAAGUGGGCGGAAUUCGUGGUGUAGCGGUGAAAUGCUUAGAUAUCACGAAGAACUCCGAUUGCGAAGGCAGCUCACUGGAGCGCAACUGACGCUGAAGCUCGAAAGUGCGGGUAUCGAACAGGAUUAGAUACCCUGGUAGUCCGCACGGUAAACGAUGGAUGCCCGCUGUUGGUCUGAAUAGGUCAGCGGCCAAGCGAAAGCAUUAAGCAUCCCACCUGGGGAGUACGCCGGCAACGGUGAAACUCAAAGGAAUUGACGGGGGCCCGCACAAGCGGAGGAACAUGUGGUUUAAUUCGAUGAUACACGAGGAACCUUACCCGGGCUUGAAUUGCACAGGAAGGAUUUGGAGACAAUGACGCCCUUCGGGGCUUCUGUGAAGGUGCUGCAUGG
Molecule: ribosomal RNA, 495 nt
Filed under: uncultured Bacteroidota bacterium
Lineage: Bacteria; Pseudomonadati; Bacteroidota
Description: bacterial SSU rRNA
Rfam family: Bacterial small subunit ribosomal RNA
Source: RNAcentral